Molecule: ribosomal RNA, 512 nt
Filed under: uncultured bacterium
Lineage: Bacteria
Description: partial 16S ribosomal RNA
Rfam family: Bacterial small subunit ribosomal RNA
Source: RNAcentral
GACGAACGCUGGCGGCGUGCCUAAUACAUGCAAGUCGAGCGAAUGACGAGGAGCUUGCUCCUUUGAUUUAGCGGCGGACGGGUGAGUAACACGUGGGCAACCUGCCCUAUAGCUUGGGAUAACUUCGGGAAACCGGAGCUAAUACCGAAUAAUUCAUUUUCUCUCAUGAGAAGAUGCUGAAAGAUGGUUUCGGCUAUCACUAUAGGAUGGGCCCGCGGCGCAUUAGCUAGUUGGUGAGGUAACGGCUCACCAAGGCGACGAUGCGUAGCCGACCUGGGAGGGUGAGCGGCCACACUGGGGAUGAGACACGGCCAAGACUCCUACGGGAGGCAGCAGUAGGGAAUCUUCCACAAUGGGCGAAAGCCUGAUGGAGCAACGCCGCGUGAGUGAAGAAGGUUUUCGGAUCGUAAAACUCUGUUGUAAGGGAAGAACAAGUGCCGUAGUAACUGGCGGCACCUUGACGGUACCUUAUUAGAAAGCCACGGCUAACUACGUGCCAGCCGCCGCAGUAA